RNAcentral lists this long non-coding RNA (1260 nucleotides) under Anas platyrhynchos (mallard). Its description in RNAcentral is "lncRNA (ENSAPLG00020004751.1)". Lineage: Eukaryota; Metazoa; Chordata; Aves; Anseriformes; Anatidae. The record is from RNAcentral.
CACCCAAGUUUUCUUCAGCCAUGAAGAGCCACAACAGCUACUGGCCACGACACCUGCAAAGCAGAAGACAGAGAGGGGUCCAGCCCUUGUCACCUGCACUAGGAAAGGAGAAGACCACCAGUGUAGACCUGCUGUGGAGGUGGUGCAGCAAGCCAUAUGGGUUAUUUCCAGUAUCUUCACAUAAAGUAAUGUGCAGAAGAUUCCAGGCAUGGGAACACACUUGUUCUACCCAGCCUGCCCACACUGCAUGGGAAGGUGCCAGGGAAAGGGAACCUGAGGAAUAUCACAGACUGCCAGAACAAAGAUGAGGAGCAUCACAAAGGCCUGCUUCAACAGGAUACCUGCACAAAACCCAGAGAGAAACAGCCAGGAUAUUCUCCAUGCUGGGCAUACUUCACCUAGAAUCUGCAGGAGCAGCAGCCGAGCAGCCUAACAGCAGCUCCAUGUGAUUAAGCAAUGCCUUAAGCCUGUGCAUACUGACAUUCAGGCACUUCUGGAGCUCUAAGUGUUAGAUUUUCCAUCAUCUCAUUCCUUUAAUACAGUCUACGUGUGCGUGUCAUACAAUCCAGUAUUACUACUCUGUGGGAAUGGAAAAACAUAUCAAGCUCAAAUGUUAUGGUGGAGUUUUUAAUCUCUUCUUCUACAGCAAAUGCAAUAAACUCCAAGACACCCAGGUGCUGAGAAGAAAAUGUGGAUUUCUUUCCUGAGGUUUUGCUAAUAUUUUUUGUGAACAGAUAGUUACAGCUGAACACAUGCCACCUCGGAACAUGAGAUUGUAUCAAUCUUGUCAACAGAGGAUUGGGAAUAUGAAUCACAUCACCAGCAGACUGGAAUUUGUAUUAAAUGUAUCAAUAAGCAGCGUGUUCACAUCAUGACUGCUUGCCAGAAGGCUUGUAUUCUCUAUGAUGAAGUACAAUUUUUCCCAUCAGUAAGUCAAAAGCUGGAGCCACUUAGCAUUAAAUCAUCUGAGGCCAGACAUCUAUUAACACACUUAGAGACAUGGGCAAACACUUCCAGGAGACUGUGAUACCUAGCAGAUAAUUUAUUCCUAGUCUCCCUUCAAAGGUGAUGAUAUAGAUAAAAACUGAACUCAAAAAUAAGCUAAGGAAUGCAAGACCAGCAUCUAUAAGCAACAUUUUGGUUGAACUGUAUACAUGACCAAGUAUAAAAACAUGGAGAAAAUUUUUAGUGUUUUGUGACAAAACUUCUCUUUGUGUAGCUUCAUGGAAUUCAAUGGCUAGAACAUCAAUCUUGGAACAG